CCUACGGGUGGCUGCAGUGGGGAAUAUUGCGCAAUGGGCGAAAGCCUGACGCAGCGACGCCGCGUGAGGGAUGAAGGUCUUCGGAUCGUAAACCUCUGUCAGCAGGGAAGAACGGUCACUGUGCUAAUCAGCCGUGAAUUGACGGUACCUGCACAGGAAGCACCGGCUAACUCCGUGCCAGCAGCCGCGGUAAUACGGAGGGUGCGAGCGUUAAUCGGAUUUACUGGGCGUAAAGCGCGCGUAGGCGGUAUGUCAAGUCAAGGGUGAAAUCCCCGCGCUCAACGUGGGAACGGCAUUUGAAACUGGCAAACUGGAGUGUGUGAGAGGAGAGUGGAAUUCCAGGUGUAGGAGUGAAAUGCGUAGAUAUCUGGAGGAACAUCAGUGGCGAAGGCGACUAUCUGGCACAUAACUGACGCUGAGGAGCGAAAGCGUGGGUAGCAAACAGGAUUAGAUACCCGUGUAGUC
Molecule: ribosomal RNA, 465 nt
Filed under: uncultured bacterium
Lineage: Bacteria
Description: partial 16S ribosomal RNA
Rfam family: Bacterial small subunit ribosomal RNA
Source: RNAcentral